Salmo salar (Atlantic salmon) is the source of this 3131-nucleotide long non-coding RNA. RefSeq lists it as uncharacterized. Lineage: Eukaryota; Metazoa; Chordata; Actinopteri; Salmoniformes; Salmonidae. The record is from RefSeq and is a predicted model, not a curated record.
GGAGUCGCCUCUUCACUGUUGACGUUGAGACUGGUGUUUUGCGGGUACUGUUUCAUGAAGCUGCCAGUUGAGGACUUGUGAGGCGUCUGUUAUAUAUAUAUAUAUAUAAAUAAAAUAAGGGCAUGACCUGUCUUAAUGUACAACAUUGAACUCACAGUAAGAGGGACUACUUUCCCAGACAGCCUGAUAUGAGAUUCUUAGAUCUACACCAAUUCAAUCAUUCAAUGACUCUCUUGCUUCAAAGGUAACAUUAAAGUCUUCCAUCACACUAACCAUGCGGACUCAAUAAACAAGAGUUGGUAUAGAUUCUAUUAAGCCAUUAAGAUCAAAAAACUUUCCUCUGAGAACCAAAUGUUUGGGAAAGCAGCUCUCUUAUUGUGAGGCAUAACAGACUUCCUCUUCAAAUCAUGAGCUGGGUCAUGUUCAAUAGGUACAAAAUGGAAGAAAAUUGAUUGAAAUGUGGAAAUACUAUCUUAGACUUGUCCAAUAAGAAGGGCUUGUUUUUGCUUUCCGUUCAAAAACGUUUUUCUACGGUGUGACUUAAUGAACACAACCCAGGUUAAGUUUGGGGAUGCACAGAGAAAGAACAAGGCCUUAACUAUAUGGCUUAAUGUAUCUAACAUUAAUGAUCUAUGCAGAAGAUGUUAUUUGACUUCUGAUAAAUGACCACAGAUAAAUACCAAAUGAUUGUGAACUGGUUCCACUAUCUAACAUGUUGUCUUAUAAAAGAGUUUAUGUAGAAAUCUUUUAUUUUCUUCCUAUUUGUGAUUAAAAAAGAAACAACACUAAACUGUCAUAAAAACACACAUGAAAAAGAACAAACAUUCCACUGUCAAGCGGCUUUAUUGGUUUGUUGUUCCGGAUCCCUUAUUUUAAGAGGUUGACAUUGUACACGUGUCACAAUAUUUCAGCAAGGUGCGCAGUAUAAGGCCAGGAUUCAAUCCGAUUGUGCUUUGUCAGCUAUACGCCAUUUAAAGGCCGAUUGAGCCAACAUAUGCAGCAUUAACCCUGAAUGCAAACCUGGGAACAUUGCCUUUAAAAGGUGCAUUGAUGACAAAGUGUGAUCAGAUUGAAUCCUGGCCCCAGAGAGCAGCAAUAGUAGGCUAUAUGGUGUAUCAAGAACUAAUGACAUGAACAGAUGUACGAAUACAUAAAAGUUUCAGUCAUCAUUUCUUCUGAUUGUUUUAGUUUUGUUGAUUCAAUUGACAAAGCAGCCCUUUUAGUGAGAAAUAAAACACUACAGCAAUAAAAACAACAUAAAAUAUUUUUGAUGAGUUAAGUUAAGAGGAUUUUUUUGCAAUCUUUUAAUUUAUGUACAAUAGAAAACCUCACAUUUCUGGAUAGAAAUAUCUUUGGUCACUGUAAAUUAAGCAAAGAUUUCAGGUAUGUACAUGUUCUUCCUCUUUGUACUGUUUCAAACAAACAUACAUUUCUUCAUGUUGAGAAAAAUGACAUAUCAUAUAAAUGUCGUUUUUUUCAUAUUCGCUCACACUGACCAUCAGAAAACUGCCACCAGUGAGCUGUAAAACACACCAUCUUUUUUCAGCUAGGGAAAAAAAUCAACACAUUUUCUACACACAUAUUAUACAAUUGACUCUCGUACAAGGCUAAACAUGAUCAUAAAUGAAAGCACUGUCGUCCUUCACUUCACUCUGGAAUGUAACAAAAAACUAAAGGACAGAAAACAAAAACAAACAAGACAUUCUAAUGCAGACAAUUGCAUGGGUACAAACAACAAAAACUGAAUAAUCUAAUGUAUUUUCCGCCAAAAAAUAUAGUAGUCAUCUCAAUUACCUAGUAGUCAUCUCAAUUAACAGAUAGACCAACAUCCCCACUCUUAGCCAUUUUGUGGUCUCAAUCCACCUCAUCAACACAUUACUUUUGUUCGUUAUCAUGAGAAAAUACAAAUGUUCCCAUAAUUGAUGUAGGCCCUGUUUGCAACCAUACAGAAAACCUUUUUUCCCAGCAUGCUCAACUGGAGGUUGGUUUUUUGGAAUUGUUUUUAAUAUCUGUCUUUGCAUGUACAUUGAAUGAUUGAUUUAUAUUUUGCUACACAAAGAUAAAUAACACAUUUUUCUAAACUAAUCCAAAUCAUUUAGUUAGAUUUAUUGCACCCAUUACUAAAAUAGUUGUUCUAGUUUAAAUGGCUUAGAUAGUCUUCUAACACUGUUCUUAACCCUGGCAGUCAUUAUGAAUGGGUGAAUAAUGUAAUUGUUGGAUAUCAAAUAGGAAUUACACCUCUCUUUGCAAGCCAGCAUGAGGUUACUUGCAGGUAGGGUUGCAAAAUUCUUCAGAAAUCCCGGUUGGAAGAUUCCUGGAAAUCCUUCAACCAGGAGUUUUGGGGAAUUUUGGGACAGUUACCAUCAUUUUGCAAUCCUACUUGCAGGAUUGAUUUGGCCUUUAAACCAUGAGUUUCAGGCGCUUGCAUUAGGGUAAAGCUAGGCCUCAAAAUAAGGCCUUAUGAGAUAUGUAAUGUAUUGUCAUAGAGUUUAAUUAUAAUGAUAACAUGCACCUAUUAACUCACUUGGUGAAGGCCACAGGACUGAAAAUGAACAAAUUCAACAACCAUGUCUCUGUCACUAACAAAUACAGUCAUUGGUGGUAACGCUACAAUUCACUCGAAAAGGCAAGGAACACUGGAAAAUAAUAUUGGAGGCAAGGUUUUUUUUCGGGGCGUUACUUAACAUUUUCAAGCUGAUACAACUCAAGUCUGGACACCCUACAGGAUCACAGUGUUUGAGUAAUGACUACAAAAUCACUAAGUAACUGUACUUGGAUAUAUUAAGUGCAAGAGGUUUCCUCAAAAGAUUUGAAGUAAUGACAGCACAUUGGGCUUUACAGUGUACAUAGGACCAUAGACAAUAUAAAAUAGCAUGUCAGUGGCACUUCUUUAACUGUAGUGCAAUAAUGUAUUUAGUUCAUACUCCUGUGUAGACUGUACUGAUUACUGUUUGUUUCUUUGAUUUUAGGCUAUGUUAAACUACACGUACGAUAGACAUGGCAUUAUAAGGAUUUUUUUGUCCUGUCAUCUUGUAAUCUCUUGUGAUUGUUUUGAUACCAUUUUCAAUGUACUAUAUGUAAAAAUCCAGCCUCAGGCACAUACAAUAAACCAAAAAUGUAAGAUUGCCAAA